Molecule: ribosomal RNA, 254 nt
Filed under: uncultured bacterium
Lineage: Bacteria
Description: partial 16S ribosomal RNA
Rfam family: Bacterial small subunit ribosomal RNA
Source: RNAcentral
UACGUAGGGUGCGAGCGUUAAUCGGAAUUACUGGGCGUAAAGCGUGCGCAGGCGGUUUUGUAAGCCAGAUGUGAAAUCCCCGGGCUUAACCUGGGAAUGGCAUUUGGGACUGCAAGGCUUGAGUGCGGCAGAGGAGACUGGAAUCCUGGUGUAGCAGUGAAAUGCGUAGAUAUCAGGAGGAACACCGAUGGCGAAGGCAGGUCUCUGGGCUGACACUGACGCUCAUGCACGAAAGCGUGGGGAGCAAACGAGGA